This is a long non-coding RNA of Dermochelys coriacea (leatherback sea turtle), 2400 nucleotides long. RefSeq lists it as uncharacterized. The transcript is spliced from 5 exons. NCBI's taxonomy places the organism in Eukaryota, Metazoa, Chordata, Testudines, Dermochelyidae. The record is from RefSeq and is a predicted model, not a curated record.
AAAAUCCCAAAAUGGCGGAUCCCAUCACAGGCUGAUUCCGUGGGUGGCGCGCGCGCCGCUGUGUUCCCCCCGCGCCUGGUCCUCCCCGUGCCUUGCCGCCGCCCCGAGCGCCCGCUGCCGCUGCACAGGUGGUGAUUGAAGUCUGUCAGAUGUUGAGUGAUAAGUGAAUUAAAGAGAUUCACGUUCAAGUCAACAGGGUAUGAGUCAACUAGCUUUUGGGAACCUUGUGAAUGCUGUUUGUCAGAUAAGUCAAUAUAAUUUAGAAAAGAAAAUCUACUUGAUACUUCAGUUCUCCUCUUCAUAUGAGCUUCAAAUGUAUCAAUUAUAGCAUGGUUCACAUUCUGAAAACCAUUUGAAGAUAUUCUGCCAUCCUAUUGGAUUACUGUGUUUACAGCACAGAAUGUUGUUCUGUCCUGGAUUUAAUAUGGUGUUUAUGAUUUAAUCCACCUUCUCUGUAUGUCUAUGUAUUGGUGAAGCACUGGAACUCUACAGGGCUGCUGUUACUUGUGUGGAAACUGAUCCAUUUUGAAUUCCUUCCAAAGGACUAGACAUUGCUAGCAAUGAGCUCCCAAAGCCAUCCAGGUAUUAAAGAAAACUACUAGGGGAUCACUCGAAACGAGAAAGAAAAAACACUCCGACAGUCACUGCCAGUAAGAAGGAACUGAAGAGGUGGCGGGUCGGCAGGGCCCUAUAUUUAGUGCCAUGAAGGCGCGACUCCAGGGGACACCUGGGCCUAUCUGACAGAUACUGCUAGGGGAAAAAUCUUCCAAGGACUGUGCAUGUGGCGCGCGCACACCUAAUUGGAAUCAACAUGAGCAAGCACUUGAAGAACUGGAAAGUACCCAGUGGUAAAGCCAAUCUUUACAAACUGGACGGAAACAAACAAGAAAACUGAACCAAGAGAAAACAUAGCUAGAUUUUUUUUUUUUCCUUCUUCCUUUACCCACUGUAUGGAGGGUUUUAGUGAAGGAAAGCCAAGAGAGAGACUAUGAAUCUUUUUGUCCAAAAGCUUCAUCCGAUAAAGACAAACAUCUAUUUUAAAGUGAUGGUUAAGAGAACACAUUGAAGACUAGGUUGUCAUACAACAAAAUUACUUUUUGGGCUUGGGAGGGGAAACACAUUGUGCUGUUCUGCACAGGAAACAGCCACAGGCCUGAGGGAGAAAGCCUUGAAAGAAAGGUGAUCGUUUAUGGACAGUUUGUAGGCUUGAUAAACUACUGAGUUUAUCCAUUUGAAAAUGGUAGAUAUGAAUGCCUUGCAGCCCUUCUUAGGUCACCAAUACAAUCCUGAAAUUACACCCAAUUUACUUCAAGGAUUUGUUUUGCAUAAACUGAAUAUAAAUGACUUGACCAUAUCUAAGGAGUGUAACUCAUUCUCCUAGUUGUGGAAGAGCUUGGCACAGAAGGAACCCAUUUUCUUUCAAAACACUUGUUGGGGAUGAAAUGCUGAUAGCAGGCCUGCGAAUCAUCUCAUCUGGGGGAAAAACUGCACAUAAGGAUUCCAGAUAAAUAAGAUCCCCAAACUUACUAACUCUCCAGGCCAAUGCAAUGGCUAACAAGAAAAACAUUUAAUAGAAAGUAUUGGGAAGGCUUUGCCACAUUGACACAAGACUUCAGGUAAUUCCUGAACCUUUUCUUUAGACAAUCUACUAAUCUGACAGCGUUUCUGUAAAGACACAUUUUAAGGAAUUGGGAAGUGAGGAUGUUGUGAGAACCAAACUAAAACAAAAAGGACCAGAAAUGAAAGUAAUAGUUCCAAACACUGAGCCUUGGGCUUGGAAGAAGCUCCAUUUUACCCCUGAUUGUAAGCCAAAUUGGAUUUUUACCUUCAAGAGCACCGUGAAGAUCAAGUUAUUUGAACCCCUUAAAGAGCUCAGGUUUGUGGACUGUUUCUAGAUGUGGGUGGGAAGUCCAUGAGCUCCCCUGAAUAUUCAUGCUGUAGAAAGUAAAAACCACUCAGGUUGCAGUGGAACAACCUCAGGUACUGUAGGUCUGAGACUCCUGAAGUAGAAGUUGCCCCAGUACAGGAAGUUCAAGAAUGCUGAACUUACCACAUGUAUCUGAGAGACUGUGGAUGCCGGAUCACUAGUUUCUGCUGAAAUCCAAAGUAAUCACAAAACUAAUAAUCAGUCCAGAACCCCUUUCUCUAUAUAAGACUCUGCCUACUGAUUUUGUUGUCAUCUAUUACACUGCCAAACCACAUAAGCAGUUUUACAUGGGAGUUGUAACGGGCAUGAAGUUCAGUUUGUGAGCCUUGAACUGCCAUCCUUGGCUUUAGAUAACGUUUAUUUUUUCAAAGAGAAGGAGUACUUGUGGCACCUUAGAGACUAACAAAUUUGAUUUGAGCAUAAGCUUUCAUGAGCUACAGCUCGCUUCAACAGAUCAAGUGAUGAAGUGAGCU